AAACCGCCCCCUAAGUUUUGCAACCGUAGCAGUUUUGGCCCCCAAGGCCAAUUUUUGGUAAAAAUAAAAAGAAAUUAACAUGUGGAACCUCACUUAGGGUGCCACAUCAGCGUAGACCGAGUCAAAAUUGACCUUGGGGGCCAUAACUUCCACAGAUGCAAAACUUAGGGGUGGUUU
Molecule: microRNA precursor, 177 nt
Filed under: Medicago truncatula (barrel medic)
Lineage: Eukaryota; Viridiplantae; Streptophyta; Magnoliopsida; Fabales; Fabaceae
Description: MIR2619 microRNA precursor family
Rfam family: MIR2619 microRNA precursor family
Source: Rfam by way of RNAcentral